Molecule: ribosomal RNA, 492 nt
Filed under: uncultured bacterium
Lineage: Bacteria
Description: partial 16S ribosomal RNA
Rfam family: Bacterial small subunit ribosomal RNA
Source: RNAcentral
AGUGAACGCUGGCGGUAGGCCUAACACAUGCAAGUCGAACGGCAGCACAGUAAGAGCUUGCUCUUACGGGUGGCGAGUGGCGGACGGGUGAGGAAUACAUCGGAAUCUACUUUUUCGUGGGGGAUAACGUAGGGAAACUUACGCUAAUACCGCAUACGACCUACGGGUGAAAGCAGGGGAUCUUCUGACCUUGCGCGAUUGAAUGAGCCGAUGUCGGAUUAGCUAGUUGGCGGGGUAAAGGCCCACCAAGGCGACGAUCCGUAGCUGGUCUGAGAGGAUGGUCAGCCACACUGGAACUGAGACACGGUCCAGACUCCUACGGGAGGCAGCAGUGGGGAAUAUUGGACAAUGGGCGCAAGCCUGAUCCAGCCAUACCGCGUGGGUGAAGAAGGCCUUCGGGUUGUAAAGCCCUUUUGUUGGGAAAGAAAAGCAGCAGGUUAAUACCCCGCUGUUCUGACGGUACCCAAAGAAUAAGCACCGGCUAACUUCGUG